Molecule: ribosomal RNA, 303 nt
Filed under: uncultured Alphaproteobacteria bacterium
Lineage: Bacteria; Pseudomonadati; Pseudomonadota; Alphaproteobacteria
Description: bacterial SSU rRNA
Rfam family: Bacterial small subunit ribosomal RNA
Source: RNAcentral
CCCUUAGGUUCGGAAUAACUCAGAGAAAUUUGAGCUAAUACCGGAUAAUGUCUUCGGACCAAAGAUUUAUCGCCUUUGGAUGGGCCCGCGUAGGAUUAGAUAGUUGGUGGGGUAAUGGCCUACCAAGUCGACGAUCCUUAGCUGGUCUGAGAGGAUGAUCAGCCACACUGGGACUGAGACACGGCCCAGACUCCUACGGGAGGCAGCAGUGGGGAAUAUUGGACAAUGGGCGAAAGCCUGAUCCAGCAAUGCCGCGUGAGUGAUGAAGGCCUUAGGGUUGUAAAGCUCUUUUACCAGGGAUGA